CACCAUCAGAGCACCUGCAUCCUCAAGAUGCACCUCAAUGUUCUUCAAAUCACCAAUGAUUUUGUUGAACUCGACAAGUAGCUCCAUGAUGGCCUUUGACUUUACAAUCCAAUGAGUAAAGUUGUUGAUUUGGGACUUGCCGAUGAGCCAAAGACUUUGUCAUAUACAAAGAUUCCAACUUUGCCCACAUCGAUGUCGC
RNAcentral lists this long non-coding RNA (199 nucleotides) under Medicago truncatula (barrel medic). Its description in RNAcentral is "long non-coding RNA (MTRU_LNC001093)". Lineage: Eukaryota; Viridiplantae; Streptophyta; Magnoliopsida; Fabales; Fabaceae. The record is from RNAcentral.